Molecule: small RNA, 258 nt
Filed under: Arabidopsis thaliana (thale cress)
Lineage: Eukaryota; Viridiplantae; Streptophyta; Magnoliopsida; Brassicales; Brassicaceae
Description: ATSL278310
Source: RNAcentral
CUUAGGAAACAGACGCUCUAUCCACUGAGCUACAUGCGCUUUCUUCUUAUGGUCUCCACUUAAUUGUCACAUUUUAAGUAAAUACUUUGUAUGAUAUUUUAAUGCAUUUCUUACGUAUUGAAUUUUAGCCAUGUAAUUCUCUAAGGGAUCAUAUUAGUCUAGUGUUUACUUAAGUACAUGUAGGUGUAUGAAGUGGUUUAAACAAAAGAAACUUACAAAAUUUGACGUAUAAUCCUAAAAACAUAUACAUAUACAUAU